GACAUCGACACAGGGGACAACCCGGGACCAAUUGGCAAGUGGUUCAUCAGUGCUGGAGCAGUGGCAGCUGAUGGCUGAGCUGGGGGAGGCGAACUCUAUGCAGUCGUCACCGCCUUAUGACUUCUAAUAAGGUUUGACAUCUACAAAAUUUCAUUAAUAAACAUACAAAUUAAUCCAAUUUACCAAGAUAUAAUCUAAGCAUGUACAAUUUCAUUAAAAAUCUUAACUAAUUAAUUAAAGCAUAUCUUGCCCUAGGGUUUCACCCUGUUGCG
RNAcentral lists this long non-coding RNA (272 nucleotides) under Prunus persica (peach). RNAcentral's name for it is "long non-coding RNA (PPER_LNC005869)". Lineage: Eukaryota; Viridiplantae; Streptophyta; Magnoliopsida; Rosales; Rosaceae. The record is from RNAcentral.